RNAcentral lists this ribosomal RNA (506 nucleotides) under Hanseniaspora uvarum. Its description in RNAcentral is "partial large subunit ribosomal RNA". It matches the Rfam family "Eukaryotic large subunit ribosomal RNA", at positions 90 to 597 of the family's 3401-position model. The record is from RNAcentral. Lineage: Eukaryota; Fungi; Ascomycota; Saccharomycetes; Saccharomycodales; Saccharomycodaceae.
CGAGUGANGCGGUAAAAGCUCAAAUUUGAAAUCUGGUACUUUCAGUGCCCGAGUUGUAAUUUGUAGAAUUUGUCUUUGAUUAGGUCCUUGUCUAUGUUCCUUGGAACAGGACGUCAUAGAGGGUGAGAAUCCCGUUUGGCGAGGAUACCUUUUCUCUGUAAGACUUUUUCGAAGAGUCGAGUUGUUUGGGAAUGCAGCUCAAAGUGGGUGGUAAAUUCCAUCUAAAGCUAAAUAUUGGCGAGAGACCGAUAGCGAACAAGUACAGUGAUGGAAAGAUGAAAAGAACUUUGAAAAGAGAGUGAAAAAGUACGUGAAAUUGUUGAAAGGGAAGGGCAUUUGAUCAGACAUGGUGUUUUUUGCAUGCACUCGCCUCUCGUGGGCUUGGGCCUCUCAAAAAUUUCACUGGGCCAACAUCAAUUCUGGCAGCAGGAUAAAUCAUUAAGAAUGUAGCUACNUCGGUAGUGUUAUAGCUUUUNGGAAUACUGUUAGCCGGGAUUGAGGACUGC